Molecule: microRNA precursor, 87 nt
Filed under: Poecilia formosa (Amazon molly)
Lineage: Eukaryota; Metazoa; Chordata; Actinopteri; Cyprinodontiformes; Poeciliidae
Description: miRNA (ENSPFOG00000021074.1)
Rfam family: let-7 microRNA precursor family
About the family: This family represents the microRNAs (miRNA) let-7 and mir-98. let-7 was identified from a study of developmental timing in C. elegans, and was later shown to be part of a much larger class of non-coding RNAs termed miRNAs. The extents of the hairpin precursors are not generally known and are estimated based on hairpin prediction.
Source: RNAcentral
ACGGUGGGAUGAGGUAGUAGGUUGUAUAGUUUUAGGGUCACACCCGCACUGGGAGAUAACUAUUCAACCUGCUGUCUUUCUCAAAGU